CAGCCGCCGCGGUAAUACCGGCGGCCCGAGUGGCGGCCACUAUUAUUGGGCUUAAAGCGUCCGUAGCCGGGUUGGUUAGUCUCCCGGGAAAUCUGGCCGCUUAACGGUCAGAAUUCCGGGAGAUACUGCCAGCCUAGGGACCGGGAGAGGCCGAGGGUAUUCCCGGAGUAGGGGUGAAAUCCUAUAAUCCCGGGAGGACCACCUGUGGCGAAGGCGCUCGGCUGGAACGGGUCCGACGGUGAGGGACGAAGGCCAGGGGAGCAAACCGGAUUAGAUACCCGGGUAGUCCUGGCGGUAAACGAUGCGGACUUUGUGUCGGACAAGCUAUGAGCUGGUCCGGUGCCGGAGGGAAACCGUUAAGUCCGCCGCCUGGGGAGUACGGCCGCAAGGCUGAAACUUAAAGGAAUUGGCGGG
RNAcentral lists this ribosomal RNA (414 nucleotides) under uncultured microorganism. Its description in RNAcentral is "bacterial SSU rRNA". It matches the Rfam family "Archaeal small subunit ribosomal RNA", at positions 459 to 872 of the family's 1478-position model. The record is from RNAcentral.